This is a non-coding RNA of Staphylococcus simiae, 98 nucleotides long. The record is from Rfam. Lineage: Bacteria; Bacillati; Bacillota; Bacilli; Caryophanales; Staphylococcaceae.
AAUUACAAUGUUAUUAGAGCUACUAAGCUCAUUGUUGAGAUAAAAGGUUUCACACUUUAGCGAGGAAUGGAAACUUUCUAUCGGGGCAUUGUCAGCAG